Non-coding RNA from Cyprinus carpio (common carp), 465 nucleotides. The record is from the annotation of a RefSeq genome assembly. NCBI's taxonomy places the organism in Eukaryota, Metazoa, Chordata, Actinopteri, Cypriniformes, Cyprinidae.
AUGACCUUCAUCAUCAUCUUCAUCUGGACUCUCACAGCGUUUGCUCAAGAGUGUAGAGGACAGAUCAGCGUCACUCAGAGUCCCUCAACAGCAGCUCAACCAGGAGAAACAGUGAAGAUCAGCUGUAAAACCAGCACUGAUGUGUUCAAUGAUGGUUCUGAUGAUUAUUUAGCCUGGUACUUACAGAAACCUGGAGAGGCUCCUAAACUCCUGAUUUAUAAUGCAAACACUCUCCAGUCAGGAACUCCAUCUAGAUUCAGUGGCAGUGGAUCUAACAGUGAUUUCACUCUGACCAUCAGUGGAGUCCAGACUGAAGAUGCUGCACAUUAUUACUGUCAGAGUGCACACAUCAUCAGUAGUAGCUGGGUGUUCACACAGUGAUAAAGAGUCGUACAAAAACCUCGGUCAGUCAGAGUCUCGGUGACUGAACUGAUGCUGCAGCUGCUCAAACACUAUCACACACUA